CCUACGGGAGGCAGCAGUGGGGAAUGUUGCGCAAUGCUCGUAAGAGUGACGCAGCGACGCCGCGUGAAUGACGAAGGCCUUCGGGUCGUAAAGUUCUUUCGACAGGGAAGAAAAUGCCUAGAAGUAACUGUGUAUGUAUUGACGGUACCGGUAGAAGCAGCGCCGGCUAACUCCGGGCCAGCAGCCGCGGUAAGACGGAGGGUGCGAGCGUUAAUCGGAAUUACUGGGCUGAACGCGCUCGUAGGCGGUAUGUCUAGUCCAGGGUGAAAUCCCCGCGCUCAACGUGGGACCUGCCUUUGAAACUGGCAACCUGGAGUGUGUGAGAGGCUAGUGGAAUUCCUGGUGU
This 346-nucleotide ribosomal RNA is filed under the name uncultured bacterium. RNAcentral's name for it is "partial 16S ribosomal RNA". It matches the Rfam family "Bacterial small subunit ribosomal RNA", at positions 338 to 676 of the family's 1533-position model. The record is from RNAcentral.